UUUUCGCUGUGGAUGUUUGAACUGAUUUGAAUUGCUUUAUAAAGCAAUCAAAUCAGUUCAAACAUCCAAAGCGAAAAGAAGUGUCAAGUUUAAAAAAAAGUGAAAAAAAUGGCACGAGAAUAUUCGCGAGAAUAUUUGGCUGAGAUCACGGAGGAGAAGAGCCGCGUAAUUACGGAAGGGAAACUCCUCCAGGCGACGGUGAAGGUCUUCAUCUCCAAAAUUGAAGAAUCGGAGGUGCACCCCGACGUGAAGAGGUAUCUCAUCAAGAACUGGCGCAGGAGUUUGGGGAAGAUUUUCAGAGCCCCUUAAAGAAAUAAAAAAAUAAAUCCCCCCUCCCCAAGAAAAUUGAAAAAAUAAAAUUAAUUAAACUGGAAUUUCCCCCCUUCUGCCCCCCCUUGAAAUAAAAAAAAUAAACAAUAAACAAUUA
Molecule: long non-coding RNA, 427 nt
Organism: Lutzomyia longipalpis
Lineage: Eukaryota; Metazoa; Arthropoda; Insecta; Diptera; Psychodidae
Exons: 2
Source: RefSeq, a predicted model, not a curated record